Molecule: ribosomal RNA, 158 nt
Filed under: uncultured Streptococcus sp.
Lineage: Bacteria; Bacillati; Bacillota; Bacilli; Lactobacillales; Streptococcaceae
Description: partial 16S ribosomal RNA
Rfam family: Bacterial small subunit ribosomal RNA
Source: RNAcentral
GGGGCACCUGACCGAGCACGCCGCGUGAGUGAUGAAGGUUUUCGGAUCGUAAAGCUCUGUUGUAAGAGAAGAACGUGUGUGAGAGUGGAAAGUUCACACAGUGACGGUAACUUACCAGAAAGGGACGGCUAACUACGUGCCAGCAGCCGCGGUAAUAU